GACGAACGCUGGCGGCGUGCUUAACACAUGCAAGUCGAGCGGUAAGGCCCUUUCGGGGGUACACGAGCGGCGAACGGGUGAGUAACACGUGGGUGACCUGCCCUCAGCUCUGGGAUAAGCCUGGGAAACUGGGUCUAAUACCGGAUAUGACUCCAUGACGCAUGUUGUGGGGUGGAAAGCCUUGUGCGGCUGAGGAUGGGCCCGCGGCCUAUCAGCUUGUUGGUGGGGGAUGGCCUACCAAGGCGACGACGGGUAGCCGGCCUGAGAGGGCGACCGGCCACACUGGGACUGAGACACGGCCCAGACUCCUACGGGAGGCAGCAGUGGGGAAUCUUGCGCAAUGGGCGAAAGCCUGACGCAGCGACGCCGCGUGAGGGAUGACGGCCUGGUGU
This 392-nucleotide ribosomal RNA is filed under the name uncultured bacterium. RNAcentral describes it as "bacterial SSU rRNA". It matches the Rfam family "Bacterial small subunit ribosomal RNA", at positions 28 to 422 of the family's 1533-position model. The record is from RNAcentral.